RNAcentral lists this ribosomal RNA (850 nucleotides) under unidentified microorganism. Its description in RNAcentral is "bacterial SSU rRNA". It matches the Rfam family "Bacterial small subunit ribosomal RNA", at positions 580 to 1428 of the family's 1533-position model. The record is from RNAcentral.
UUGUCGCGUCUGCUGUGAAAUCCCGAGGCUCAACCUCGGGCUUGCAGUGGGUACGGGCAGACUAGAGUGCGGUAGGGGAGAUUGGAAUUCCUGGUGUAGCGGUGGAAUGCGCAGAUAUCAGGAGGAACACCGAUGGCGAAGGCAGAUCUCUGGGCCGUAACUGACGCUGAGGAGCGAAAGCAUGGGGAGCGAACAGGAUUAGAUACCCUGGUAGUCCAUGCCGUAAACGUUGGGCGCUAGAUGUAGGGACCUUUCCACGGUUUCUGUGUCGUAGCUAACGCAUUAAGCGCCCCGCCUGGGGAGUACGGCCGCAAGGCUAAAACUCAAAGGAAUUGACGGGGGCCCGCACAAGCGGCGGAGCAUGCGGAUUAAUUCGAUGCAACGCGAAGAACCUUACCAAGGCUUGACAUACACCGGAAACGGCCAGAGAUGGUCGCCCCCUUGUGGUCGGUGUACAGGUGGUGCAUGGUUGUCGUCAGCUCGUGUCGUGAGAUGUUGGGUUAAGUCCCGCAACGAGCGCAACCCUCGUUCUAUGUUGCCAGCGGGUUAUGCCGGGGACUCAUAGGAGACUGCCGGGGUCAACUCGGAGGAAGGUGGGGAUGACGUCAAAUCAUCAUGCCCCUUAUGUCUUGGGCUUCACGCAUGCUACAAUGGCCGGUACAAAGGGCUGCGAUACCGUAAGGUGGAGCGAAUCCCAAAAAGCCGGUCUCAGUUCGGAUUGAGGUCUGCAACUCGACCUCAUGAAGUCGGAGUCGCUAGUAAUCGCAGAUCAGCAACGCUGCGGUGAAUACGUUCCCGGGCCUUGUACACACCGCCCGUCAAGUCAUGAAAGUCGGUAACACCCGAAGCC